This 565-nucleotide long non-coding RNA is filed under the name Aotus nancymaae (Ma's night monkey). RNAcentral describes it as "lncRNA (ENSANAG00000038761.1)". Lineage: Eukaryota; Metazoa; Chordata; Mammalia; Primates; Aotidae. The record is from RNAcentral.
ACGGAGGGGGCCCAGCGCCCCCGCAGCCGCCUUCUCCUGGAGUCUGUGUGACAGAAUGGGACCUGUGGGAAAGCAGCACGUCAGCACCCAGCCCUGCUUGCGCGCCAGCAGCUAAUUAAAGCCAGGAAGUUUCUGGGUCAUUGUGAGACUGGAUUUCAUAGAAGAGUCUUUGCUACAGCAAAACCUCUCUGCAAGCAAUACAUUAUCCAAGCUGCUGGAGGCCAGAUUGACCAGAAAAAUGGGACCAAUAACAUGGUAAAGGAUCUUCAACACUAACCUUCAGUUCCUCAGGGUCCAGUGUGCUUGAAAAACAAUAAAUAUUUUAACUCUUACUUUCACCAGCCUAGAGGGGAGAGAGAGAGAGAGAGUUGUGAACAAAGGGUCCCUGAGUGACAUGACUCCUGUGUGGGAGAACUCUCUUAGCUUUGUAACUGAGGUGGGGGCCUGGUCUGGGCACUGCUUAUUAUUAUCAUCUUAAUUUUUAAAGCAAAUUUUUGAGAAAAGAAUCUGAAGACCAAUGGUUGUUGCUUGGCCACUGAAAAAUAAAUCUCAUUUUGAUAACUCC